UUUUAAAAUUAUGGUUUACUUAAAUUUAUGGACUGAUCUUAUAAAUUUUAAUUUUUAAAACUAGGAUUAGAUACCCUAUUAUUUUGGAAUGUAAAUAUUUUAUGCCUAGGUAGUAUUAGUUAUGGUCUUGAAACUUAAAAAAUUUGGCGGUAUUUUAGUCUAUUCAGAGGAACCUGUUCUGUAAUCGAUAAUCCACGUUGGAUCUUACUUGAUUUUUUGGAGUUUGUAUACCGCCGUUAUAGAUUAUUUUAUUAGAAUAAUAAUUUUCAAUUGUUUAUAUUAAAAUUAAUAUCAGGUCAAGGUGCAGCUUAUAAUUAAGAGUAUAAAUGGGUUACAAUAAGUUUACUUAUGACGUAUAUUGGGUUUAAAUUUCUAGUUGAAGGUGGAUUUGAUAGUAAAAUUAUAAAGAUAGUUAAUUUGAUUUUGGCUCUAAAAUAUGUAC
This 442-nucleotide ribosomal RNA is filed under the name Dysmachus cochleatus. Its description in RNAcentral is "partial small subunit ribosomal RNA". The record is from RNAcentral. Lineage: Eukaryota; Metazoa; Arthropoda; Insecta; Diptera; Asilidae.